This 389-nucleotide transfer-messenger RNA is filed under the name Prochloraceae. RNAcentral describes it as "Prochloron sp014323965 Standard tmRNA". It matches the Rfam family "transfer-messenger RNA". From Rfam's summary of the family: Bacterial tmRNA, also known as 10Sa RNA or SsrA, is named for its dual tRNA and mRNA-like properties. Its role is to liberate the mRNA from a stalled ribosome. Lineage: Bacteria; Bacillati; Cyanobacteriota; Cyanophyceae; Chroococcales. RNAcentral also lists the same sequence under 1 other name. The record is from RNAcentral.
GGGGCCGUAACGGUUUCGACAGGUUGGCGAAAGCUAUCCCGUGAUUCAGGUCGAGAGUGAGUCUCCUCUCGCAAAUCAAAGGCUCAAACAAAAUGUAACUGCGAACAACAUCGUUCCUUUUGCUCGUAAGGCAGCUGCUGUUGCCUAAAAACCUCUAAACAGGUUCGAGCGCUCGCCGUCUGACUCCGUUAAGGGCUGCGGGCCAAACCUCAACGGAUGCUCUCUUGCUCCUCCUCUGGUAGGCUCAAGAGCUAAGACUUUACCAGAGUAUCCUGUCAUCCGGGAUAAGGGAUGGUUCCCGCCUUGAGGGUUAGAUGGGCUAAACCUGUGAAUGAGCGGACAGUCAAUACCCAGUCUGGACAGCAGUUCAACUCUGCUCGGCUCCAUCA